Molecule: ribosomal RNA, 464 nt
Filed under: uncultured bacterium
Lineage: Bacteria
Description: partial 16S ribosomal RNA
Rfam family: Bacterial small subunit ribosomal RNA
Source: RNAcentral
CUACGGGUUGCUGCAGUGAGGAAUAUUGCGCAAUGGGGGAAACCCUGACGCAGCGACGCCGCGUGGAUGAUGAAGGCCUUAGGGUCGUAAAAUCCUGUCAGGUGGGAAGAAGUGGAUAUAGAUUAAUACUCUAUUUCUUUGACGGUACCACCAAAGGAAGCACCGGCUAACUCCGUGCCAGCAGCCGCGGUAUCCGGAGGGUGCAAACGUUGUUCGGAAUUACUGGGCGUAAAGCGCGCGUAGGCGGUUUGUUAAGUCAGAUGUGAAAGUCCAUGGCUCAACUAUGGAAGUGCAUUGGAAACUGGCAGAGUUGAGUACUGGAGGGGGUGAUGGAAUUCCCGGUGUAGAGGUGAGAUUCGUAGAUAUCGGGAGGAAUACCGGUGGCGAAGGCGAUCACCUGGCCAGAUACUGACGCUGAGGUGCGAAAGCGUGGGGAGCAAACAGGAUUAGAUACCCCCGUAGUC